AAACAUAGCAGCCAUGGGAUUAAGUUCGGCACGUGCACCAUAAGAGAACUUCUGUAGAAGUUUUGGGUUUAUAUCGUCCAGUUUGACAUUCCCAUUACUUUCAUUUAAAUUGGUCGCAAUAGAUAUCAGCGUCUGAGCAUCAUCUUCUGAACCAGCAAGAGGAAACCGUGCCAAAUCUGAUCUGAACUUGUCUAAUGCUUGGAAUGCCAAAUGUAGCAGAGGUGGGCGGUCAAACUUUGAAAAAUCACUAAGAAGGAAAUCGCCAGGAUCCAUGAUAGAUUCCCUCAGUGUCUUGAAGUUCAAAAUUUUGGGUGGCUUCACCUGAGUAACAAUACCACCUCUUACAUAGGGACCAAAGUUCGUUGUGUCUUCAUCGAGGGUAAAGGAAUAAGGUCUUGCACUGCUAAUUUUUCUUGGCUUGCCAUCAUUAAGUUCUGUCAUGCCCUGUACUUCUGAAAAGACAACUAGGUCCCCAUCCUGAAACUCAAGCCUUUCAUCAUCCACACACGAAAUUAGGGCAGGGUUAUCAUUACUAAUUGAUGCAAUAAUACCCGUAUGAGGUUCUUCACCAUCUACAUCAAAAACUGUAAACUCAGGGCCAAAAUCACAGAAGACAUAACCAAAUAGACCCCUCACUUCAGUUCUGAUAAAUGCAAUAGGGGGUUGAUGGUUGUGGCAGUAGUCAUUGAAUUCUAGUGCGUCCUCUAAGCUGGUGUUAGUAAAUACCACAGCCUGGAAAUCAGAAAGCUUUUCUUUGGUCAAUUUUGUCGUAAAACUUGAGACAACCACAGCAUUGUUGAGUUCUUGUAGCUUUUGAACAGAAGCAAGCGCUCUGUUCAUGCCAACAUCACUCUCUGAGAAAAUAAAAUUGCUAGACAAAUCCCACAACUGCACUUCUCCUUCAUCAUGCAGAGUCACAGACUUUACACCAGCAAGUAUAAGAUUCUUUGCUAUUUCAGCACCAAGCCCUUGGAUUCCUGAGACAAGAACGUUAGAAGCAAAGAGCCGCCGCAUAGUUUCACGGCCAUACACGGCGAGCUGUCUGCUGUGGAGAUCCUCAUCAAUAUCAUGUGGAUUUCCAUCAUCAAAAGCCAUUUCAGUCACUGACCGUUCACCAACACUACCGCUGCUAGUGUUACCGUUUGUAUUAUUACUUACGACCUUGUUACUACUGCAACCACUGGUAUUCUCUUCGGUACCGGAAGAAAUCACGCAACUAAUUUUAUGCUUUUUAAGAGAACUUUCUGGAUCACAACUGCUACUGUUACCUUCAACUACCACGCCUUCUGCCGGUCUCUUUCUAGGAAGCAUAUAGUGCAACAAACGAUUGAACGAGAAGAUAUGAGUGAAAAUGAUUGAUCGGAAAGAUGGAGAAGUAAUGGAGAAGAAUUUUCAUGUGUAGAGUGAAGAAGAAGUUUCAAUAGUGAAGAGGUGAAGGGGUAUUUAUGGAUUUAAUUUUUUUUUCUCGGUUUAGAGAUUUUGAGGGGUUUACAGAAAAAAAAUGGGUAGCGUUUCG
RNAcentral lists this unclassified non-coding RNA (1516 nucleotides) under Hevea brasiliensis (rubber tree). The record is from RNAcentral. Lineage: Eukaryota; Viridiplantae; Streptophyta; Magnoliopsida; Malpighiales; Euphorbiaceae.